This is a long non-coding RNA of Rosa chinensis, 1969 nucleotides long. RefSeq lists it as uncharacterized. The record is from RefSeq and is a predicted model, not a curated record. Lineage: Eukaryota; Viridiplantae; Streptophyta; Magnoliopsida; Rosales; Rosaceae. The transcript has 7 exons.
UUUCUCUUUUCCCAUCUCUGCUUGUUCGCUCUCCCAUUCUCUUUCUCUCCUUUACCAACAAAAUCCCCUUCCUCUUUGUCUCCAUCUCUCCCAUAAAUUUCUUUCUCAAAACCCUACAGCCUCCCCAGAUUCUCUUCGAAUCCCUACCCUUCAUCCAGAAAUUCAGAGCCAGAUCAGCGUAGUCAAGUACCACGGUGAUGCCAUGAAAGAGAACACCGUCCAGGCCAUGGACGGCCUCACCUCUACAUUUUCUCCGCCUAUUCCUCUUCCUGCUUAAUCCUUCGUUCAGAUCCAGUGCCCGGAAGGCUUCUCUCUCAAAGACAAUGUUUUUUUAAUUUGGGUUUUUAGGGUUCUUCUGGUUUUGGGGUUUUUCUAGUGAUUUUGCUCAUGAUUUUUAAUUUUGCAGAAUUGGUUAAAGAGGUAGUGCUGGUUUGGUUCCUCUUUGACCUGCUUUCAAAACAUGACAAGGCUUCCUUCUUUUACAAUGACCUCCUAAUUUUGGAUGCCUUCGUGAUUCAUAAGGAAAUAUGAAAGCAAUUUGCAAUACUAAUUUGAUUCUUUUCUCUCAAUUUAAUUAUAAUUAGAAAAUGGGAUCUUCAAUUUUUCUUUAGAUUGGUACAUGAUAACAAAAGUCUGCUUUAAGUAUGUUCUGGGUAAAACUAGAAAUUAACAUUGAAAAUGAUAAGCUUGGUGUGUGUUUAUGCUAUUUGAUUAAGAGAUAGCUGUAGGUCCAUUAGUUUGUCUGUUUGUUGGUUUUUCUUGUUGAUUAAAGCAACUGCUACAUUUGUUGAAGAACCUAGUUACGAUGACAUUGAUUGAAACAAAUCAUCAUAUUAUGCACUGAGCAUUAGAGAAUUGCAUGUUCAAACAUCAUGUAACAUGUGCAUAUGCUUUUCAAAGUUUGUGGGCCUGUGAGCAAUUGGGUUAUUUGAAUUUGAGUUGAUAUAUGUGUUUUGUUGGUGGCAGGUUUAUGGGAGUGGGGGCUUGGCCCCUUGGCAUUACUUUCAUAGGUUGUAUCGCCUCAAGUUUUAAACUGAUUAGUCUUUGAGGCAUUUAACUUUGGCUAAAGUCUUUGAGGCAUUUCCUUAUCAAUUGAUUCGAUUUUGAUACGUUCGAUUCUUUUUAUGAACAAAAAUUUGAUUUCAGAUCUGGAUUUUAUAGGAGGUUAGAUGUAACUAAGUACGGAGGUUUGAUGCUCCACUCUGUCUGCCUUCAGAAGGCAACUUUAUUUAUUUCCCACAUAUAUGGGUUCAAUUUCAGAUAUGAUGCAAUAUUGUUCGUGGUGUUCAGUUUUGAUUUGGCUUCGAAGAGAUUCUAAACCUAUGAGCUCCUAUGGCUUUCUGACUCUCAAGUAUUCUCAUGGCUCUGUUUUCAGGCUUCCAAGGAUAAGAAUAUGCUUGGAGGAUCUUUAUAAAUGACAAAGCAGCUGAAGAUAAGCUGGAGAACAAGAGGAUGAUGGACAGCUCUACUAAAGAAAUAGGACAAGCCUUCUAAGGGCAAGAGAAGAAAAGGCUUUGAGUUAUGAAAAGUGCUGAGCAAGGGCAGAUGAUUCUUCAAACUCUCAAGCGGGCAAUUGGUGUUUGAGUCUGAAAUUGGGUGAUAUAAGAAGAUCAUAAGCCAAAGAGCGUACCAGUUUUGCCAUGGAUAUGAACCCCAAUUGACGUCAAUGCCUUGGAAAAAAACCCCUCUCUAUUCUACCUUGACCUGACCCCAGGUUGGUCUGAAAGACCCCAAAACAAAACCAAAAAAAAAAAAAAAACAAGAGAAGAGAACAGGGAAAGAAGAAGAAAUUCAGAAGAAGAAACAAAAGUGGAGAAAUGAACAAACUAAAGAAACGAAGAAGAGAGAGAUUAUUGAACUGGUUGAUGUUUACUAAGUUUAGCUCCAUUAUGGAUGUAUGUAUAGCUGCAGUAACAGAUUAAUCAAAUAUUGAUAUUUUUAUGAAUGAAUUCCAUAUUUGAUGAAUGCA